UACAGAGGUCUCAAGCGUUGUUCGGAUUCAUUGGGCGUAAAGGGUGUGUAGGUGGCGCCGUAAGUCGGGUGUGAAAUUUCGGAGCUUAACUCCGAAACUGCAUUCGAUACUGCGGUGCUUGAGGACUGGAGAGGAGACUGGAAUUCAUGGUGUAGCAGUGAAAUGCGCAGAUAUCAGGAGGAACACCGAUGGCGAAGGCAGGUCUCUGGGCAUUAACUGACGCUGAGGAGCGAAAGCAUGGGGAGCGAGCAGG
This 253-nucleotide ribosomal RNA is filed under the name uncultured bacterium. RNAcentral describes it as "partial 16S ribosomal RNA". It matches the Rfam family "Bacterial small subunit ribosomal RNA", at positions 524 to 776 of the family's 1533-position model. The record is from RNAcentral.